CCUACGGGAGGCAGCAACUAGGAAUCUUGGACAAUGGGGGAAACCCUGAUCCAGCGACGCCGCGUGGAGGAUGAAGGCCGAAAGGUUGUAAACUUCUUUUACAUGGGAACAAAAUGAGUGUACCAUGCGAAUAAGCCACUGCUAACUUCGUGCCAGCAGCAGCGGUGAUACGGGGGUGGCAAGCGUUAUCCGGAAUUACUGGGCGUAAAGAGAUGCGUAGGCGUCUUAUUAAGUCUCGAGUUAAAUCUCACGGCUCAACUGUGAAAUCGCUCGGGAAACUAAUAGGAUUGAGGAAAUCAGAGGGAAGUAGAAUUCUUCGAGGAGCGGUAAAAUGCGUUGAUACGAAGAGGAAUACCAAUGGCGAAGGCAGCUUCCUGGGAUUUUCCUGACGCUAAGGCUCGAAAGCGUGGGGAGCAAAACGGAUUAGAUACCCUAGUAGU
Molecule: ribosomal RNA, 440 nt
Filed under: uncultured bacterium
Lineage: Bacteria
Description: bacterial SSU rRNA
Rfam family: Bacterial small subunit ribosomal RNA
Source: RNAcentral